UACGGAGGGUGCAAGCGUUGUCCGGAAUCACUGGGCAUAAAGGGCGCGUAGGCGGCUCAUGAAGGCUGUGGUGAAAGUCCGGGGCUCAACCUCGGAUCGGCCGUGGCGACUCGUGGGCUGGAGCACUGUAGAGGCGGGUGGAAUUCCGGGUGUAGCGGUGGAAUGCGUAGAGAUCCGGAAGAACACCAGUGGCGAAGGCGGCCCGCUGGGCAGUGGCUGACGCUGAGGCGCGACAGCGUGGGGAGCAAACAGG
RNAcentral lists this ribosomal RNA (253 nucleotides) under uncultured bacterium. RNAcentral's name for it is "partial 16S ribosomal RNA". It matches the Rfam family "Bacterial small subunit ribosomal RNA", at positions 524 to 776 of the family's 1533-position model. The record is from RNAcentral.